This 516-nucleotide ribosomal RNA is filed under the name uncultured bacterium. RNAcentral describes it as "partial 16S ribosomal RNA". It matches the Rfam family "Bacterial small subunit ribosomal RNA", at positions 28 to 523 of the family's 1533-position model. The record is from RNAcentral.
GACGAACGCUGGCGGCAUGCCUAAUACAUGCAAGUCGAGCGGACUUGAAGAGAAGCUUGCUUCUCUGAUGGUUAGCGGCGGACGGGUGAGUAACACGUAGGCAACCUGCCCUCAAGCUUGGGACAACUACCGGAAACGGUAGCUAAUACCGAAUCCUUGUUUUCUUCGCCUGAAGGAAACUGGAAAGCCGGAGCAAUCUGUCACCUUGGGAUGGGCCCGGGGCGCAUUAGCAAGUUGGUGAGGUAACGGCUCAACAAGGCGACGAUGCGUAGCCGACCUGAGAGGGUGAUCGGCCACACUGGGACUGAGACACGGCCCAGACUCCUACGGGAGGCAGCAGUAGGGAAUCUUCCGCAAUGGGCGAAAGCCUGACGGAGCAAUGCCGCGUGAGUGAUGAAGGUUUUCGGAUCGUAAAGCUCUGCUGCCAGGGAAGAACGCUUGGGAGAGUAACUGCUCCCAAGGUGACGGUACCUGAGAAGAAAGCCCCGGCUAACUACGUGCCAGCCGCCGCCGUAA